This 253-nucleotide ribosomal RNA is filed under the name uncultured bacterium. RNAcentral describes it as "partial 16S ribosomal RNA". It matches the Rfam family "Bacterial small subunit ribosomal RNA", at positions 524 to 776 of the family's 1533-position model. The record is from RNAcentral.
UACGUAGGGGGCAAGCGUUGUCCGGAUUUAUUGGGCGUAAAGAGCGCGCAGGCGGUUCUUUAAGUCUGAUGUGAAAGCCCACGGCUCAACCGUGGAGGGUCAUUGGAAACUGGAGAACUUGAGUACAGAAGAGGAAAGCGGAAUUCCACGUGUAGCGGUGAAAUGCGUAGAGAUGUGGAGGAACACCAGUGGCGAAGGCGGCUCUUUGGUCUGUAACUGACGCUGAGGCGCGAAAGCGUGGGGAGCGAACAGG